UGAACGCUGGCGGCGUGCCUAAUACAUGCAAGUCGAGCGAACAGACGAGGAGCUUGCUCCUCUGACGUUAGCGGCGGACGGGUGAGUAACACGUGGAUAACCUACCUAUAAGACUGGGAUAACUUCGGGAAACCGGAGCUAAUACCGGAUAAUAUAUUGAACCGCAUGGUUCACUAGUGAAAGACGGUUUUGCUGUCACUUAUAGAUGGAUCCGCGCCGCAUUAGCUAGUUGGUAAGGUAACGGCUUACCAAGGCAACGAUGCGUAGCCGACCUGAGAGGGGGAUGGGCACAACGGGAACGAAAAACCGGCCAAAACCCCAAGGGGGGGCAGAGGGGGGAAUUCUGCCGAAAGGGGGAAAAGCCUGACGGGGCAACCCGGGGGGGGUGAGGAAGUUCUUGGGAUGGAAAAACUUUUUUAUUGGGGAAAAAAAAAUUUGUAAGUAACUAUGCCCGUUUGGACGGACCCAAAGAAGAAAGCCCCGGCAAAUUACUG
RNAcentral lists this ribosomal RNA (494 nucleotides) under uncultured bacterium. RNAcentral's name for it is "partial 16S ribosomal RNA". It matches the Rfam family "Bacterial small subunit ribosomal RNA", at positions 30 to 506 of the family's 1533-position model. The record is from RNAcentral.